GGGUUGUGAGGUUAAGCGACUAAGCGUACACGGUGGAUGCCCUGGCAGUCAGAGGCGAUGAAGGGCGUGCUAAUCUGCGAUAAGCGCCGGUAAGGUGAUAUGAACCGUUAUAACCGGCGAUACCCGAAUGGGGAAACCCAGUGUGACUCGUCACACUAUCAUUAACUGAAUCCAUAGGUUAAUGAGGCGAACCGGGGGAACUGAAACAUCUAAGUACCCCGAGGAAAAGAAAUCAACCGAGAUUCCCCCAGUAGCGGCGAGCGAACGGGGAGGAGCCCAGAGCCUGAAUCAGCAUGUGUGUUAGUGGAAGCGUCUGGAAAGGCGCGCGAUACAGGGUGACAGCCCCGUACACAAAAGCGCAUGUGCUGUGAGCUCGAUGAGUAGGGCGGGACACGUGGUAUCCUGUCUGAAUAUGGGGGGACCAUCCUCCAAGGCUAAAUACUCCUGACUGACCGAUAGUGAACCAGUACCGUGAGGGAAAGGCGAAAAGAACCCCGGCGAGGGGAGUGAAAAAGAACCUGAAACCGUGUACGUACAAGCAGUGGGAGCACCCUUUGGGGUGUGACUGCGUACCUUUUGUAUAAUGGGUCAGCGACUUAUAUUCUGUAGCAAGGUUAACCGAAUAGGGGAGCCGGAGGGAAACCGAGUCUUAACCGGGCGUUAAGUUGCAGGGUAUAGACCCGAAACCCGGUGAUCUAGCCAUGGGCAGGUUGAAGGUUGGGUAACACUAACUGGAGGACCGAACCGACUAAUGUUGAAAAAUUAGCGGAUGACCUGUGGCUGGGGGUGAAAGGCCAAUCAAACCGGGAGAUAGCUGGUUCUCCCCGAAAGCUAUUUAGGUAGCGCCUCGUGAAUUCAUCUCCGGGGGUAGAGCACUGUUUCGGCUAGGGGGCCAUCCCGGCUUACCAACCCGAUGCAAACUGCGAAUACCGGAGAAUGUUAUCACGGGAGACACACGGCGGGUGCUAACGUCCGUCGUGAAGAGGGAAACAACCCAGACCGCCAGCUAAGGUCCCAAAGUCAUGGUUAAGUGGGAAACGAUGUGGGAAGGCCCAGACAGCCAGGAUGUUGGCUUAGAAGCAGCCAUCAUUUAAAGAAAGCGUAAUAGCUCACUGGUCGAGUCGGCCUGCGCGGAAGAUGUAACGGGGCUAAACCAUGCACCGAAGCUGCGGCAGCGACACUAUGUGUUGUUGGGUAGGGGAGCGUUCUGUAAGCCUGUGAAGGUGGCCUGUGAGGGUUGCUGGAGGUAUCAGAAGUGCGAAUGCUGACAUAAGUAACGAUAAAGCGGGUGAAAAGCCCGCUCGCCGGAAGACCAAGGGUUCCUGUCCAACGUUAAUCGGGGCAGGGUGAGUCGACCCCUAAGGCGAGGCCGAAAGGCGUAGUCGAUGGGAAACGGGUUAAUAUUCCCGUACUUGGUGUUACUGCGAAGGGGGGACGGAGAAGGCUAUGUUGGCCGGGCGACGGUUGUCCCGGUUUAAGCGUGUAGGUGUGUGUUCCAGGUAAAUCCGGUUCACUUUAACACUGAGGCGUGAUGACGAGGCACUACGGUGCUGAAGCAACAAAUGCCCUGCUUCCAGGAAAAGCCUCUAAGCAUCAGGUAACAUCAAAUCGUACCCCAAACCGACACAGGUGGUCAGGUAGAGAAUACCAAGGCGCUUGAGAGAACUCGGGUGAAGGAACUAGGCAAAAUGGUGCCGUAACUUCGGGAGAAGGCACGCUGACACGUAGGUGAAGUGAUUUACUCAUGGAGCUGAAGUCAGUCGAAGAUACCAGCUGGCUGCAACUGUUUAUUAAAAACACAGCACUGUGCAAACACGAAAGUGGACGUAUACGGUGUGACGCCUGCCCGGUGCCGGAAGGUUAAUUGAUGGGGUCAGCGCAAGCGAAGCUCCUGAUCGAAGCCCCGGUAAACGGCGGCCGUAACUAUAACGGUCCUAAGGUAGCGAAAUUCCUUGUCGGGUAAGUUCCGACCUGCACGAAUGGCGUAAUGAUGGCCAGGCUGUCUCCACCCGAGACUCAGUGAAAUUGAACUCGCUGUGAAGAUGCAGUGUACCCGCGGCAAGACGGAAAGACCCCGUGAACCUUUACUAUAGCUUGACACUGAACAUUGAGCCUUGAUGUGUAGGAUAGGUGGGAGGCUUUGAAGUGUGGACGCCAGUCUGCAUGGAGCCGACCUUGAAAUACCACCCUUUAAUGUUUGAUGUUCUAACGUGGACCCGUGAUCCGGGUUGCGGACAGUGUCUGGUGGGUAGUUUGACUGGGGCGGUCUCCUCCUAAAGAGUAACGGAGGAGCACGAAGGUUGGCUAAUCCUGGUCGGACAUCAGGAGGUUAGUGCAAUGGCAUAAGCCAGCUUGACUGCGAGCGUGACGGCGCGAGCAGGUGCGAAAGCAGGUCAUAGUGAUCCGGUGGUUCUGAAUGGAAGGGCCAUCGCUCAACGGAUAAAAGGUACUCCGGGGAUAACAGGCUGAUACCGCCCAAGAGUUCAUAUCGACGGCGGUGUUUGGCACCUCGAUGUCGGCUCAUCACAUCCUGGGGCUGAAGUAGGUCCCAAGGGUAUGGCUGUUCGCCAUUUAAAGUGGUACGCGAGCUGGGUUUAGAACGUCGUGAGACAGUUCGGUCCCUAUCUGCCGUGGGCGCUGGAGAACUGAGGGGGGCUGCUCCUAGUACGAGAGGACCGGAGUGGACGCAUCACUGGUGUUCGGGUUGUCAUGCCAAUGGCACUGCCCGGUAGCUAAAUGCGGAAGAGAUAAGUGCUGAAAGCAUCUAAGCACGAAACUUGCCCCGAGAUGAGUUCUCCCUGAGACUUAGAGUCUCCUGAAGGAACGUUGAAGACGACGACGUUGAUAGGCCGGGUGUGUAAGCGCAGCGAUGCGUUGAGCUAACCGGUACUAAUGAACCGUGAGGCUUAACCUUACAACGCCGAAG
This 2926-nucleotide ribosomal RNA is filed under the name Salmonella enterica subsp. enterica serovar Minnesota. RNAcentral's name for it is "bacterial LSU rRNA". It matches the Rfam family "Bacterial large subunit ribosomal RNA". Lineage: Bacteria; Pseudomonadati; Pseudomonadota; Gammaproteobacteria; Enterobacterales; Enterobacteriaceae. The record is from RNAcentral.